UUCUGCAGGAUUCCCAGAGCUCAGCCUGAUAUUUGACUGGGGCUCUGCAUCUGUUUCCACCAGUUGCUGGAUGAAGCCUCUCUGAAGACAAUUAGGCUAGGCUCUUGGGCUUUUGGUUUUUUUUUUUUUUUUUUUUUUUUUUUUUUUUUUUUGUAUAUUCAGGAUAUCAGUCCUCUGUGGAUGUGCAGCUGACAAGGAUUCAUGGCCAUUCUGGGGGAUUCCUCUUCACCUGGUUAUUAUUUCUUAAUCUGCCUCAAAGCUUUUGAGUUUUGUCAAGCCCCACCUAUCAGGUGUUGGCCUUAACUCUAAUGCAAAUGGACUCCUGUUCAGAAAGUCCUGUCCUAUAUACCUGUAUCAGAUAGGGAAUGUCCUGUCCUUUCUUCUGGUGGUUUCAGUGUUUUGUGUUUAGGGCUUGAUGCAUUUGGAGUUAGUGUUGUGUGAGGUGGUAGAUGCAGGUCUGGUUCACUCUUCUGCAUUUGGACAUCCAGUUUCCAAGUACCAUUGCUGAAGAUGCGUUCUUUUCUGCAGUUUAUGUUUUUGGCAUCUUUGUCAAAUAUUAAAUGGUUAAAGUAACAUGUACUCAUGUGUGGGUCUUCAGUUUUGUUUUCUGGUCUGCAUGUCUGCUUUUGUGCCAAUUCCAUAUUAUUUUCACUCUGUAAUAUACUUUAAGAACUGAAAUAGUAUUUCCUCCAAAGUUCAUUUUUUUUCCUUAUGGUUGUUUUGGCUAUCCAGGUCAAAACUGAGUAUUUGAAAAAAUACAGUCACAAAUUUAAGUCUAUGAUUUAUCCAUGUGCCUUCCAAGUUUUCCACAGAUUACUAAAGAUCAAGAUGCUAAGCUUUCAUCCUGACUUUGGUGAGCCCAAAAUAAAAAUAAAUGCUUUUAGUAAAGACAGUAUUCAAAUAUCUGCUAUAAAAUAACAUAACAUAUCCACUGGUCAAGUUUGCUUAAUAAAUGAAUAAACAAGGCCUCCAGGACUGUUAAUGGUAUUUUAGAUUUUGUUUUUCUGGAUUUUUAUCACAGAGCAAAUUUAUCUUCUAAAAAUGUUUUCUGGGUACUGGAGAAAUGACUCCAUGAGUAAGAGGACUUAUUACACUUAUAGCAUAUCAGAGCUUGGUCCCCAACAUCCAUGUAAAUGGGUAAAAACACCUGUAACUCAGCUCCAGAGAACAUAACAUCCUCUUGUGGCCUCUGUGGGCAUCUGCAGGUAAGCCAGCACACACACACACACACACACACACAAAUAAUAAACAGAAAAUCAAAGGGGUUAAACUCUCCCCUUUUUACAACUGAAUUUAGGUUUCAGUUCUCUGAGAGGGGCAAAAAGGUGUCUCUCCCAAAAGGGCAGGAGGCAUUUAUCAACAAAUUAUAUUUGGGGCCAAAGGAGAGAACACAAACAAGGCCUUCAGACAUCCUCACAAUAUCUCAAGGCAAUGACCAAUACAGGGACAGACCCUGGGAAUUAUCCAAACAUGCCCAUAGAUGGAAGAAUUGUAGCCCUAGGCCAUGUUAGCCCUAGCCAAUCAGAAAUGUACUACUGUAACUGCCACUUGCUCAGCCAAUUACAGGUAGGAUAACCUAACUGUCCCUGGAGCGCCCCUUGGCUGUGCUUAAAGGAGACUGCACACUCUACUCAGAGUCAUUGCCAUUUUGUACAAGUGAAUGGUGCCGCAUAUGCUGGCAUAGGAAAUAAAGGUGUUUGCCGGUUGCAUGUGUGAAUGAUGGUCUUGUGUGGACUUCUCGUGAACCCUAAAAAAUCACCAUGGAGGAGACUGGCCAAAGUCCCAAAGGGAUGAUGGGCCUUCAGCUCCAAUGAUGGUUGCUCUUAGAAUGAUGAUCAAGGUUGCCCAAUAACAUCUGAACACAAAUAAUGGAAACCUGGAAUAACAUUUAUGUUCUUUUACAGUCUAUGGGAUGACAAGGACAACUGUCAUAGAAGUCUUUCAGACACAGAUGGCCUUUGACAUGUGGGCAGCAAUGUGGGGAGAACCUGUGCCAUUUUCAGAGUGUCAUGGCUAUCCAUGACCACUGACAUGUGUGCUCAGUCUUCCAAGACUGAAGUCCUCACAUUAUAUCUAUGCCAGAUUUUGAUUUAGGACUUCAUGACUUGCUAUGAACAUCAUCUUCUUGGGGACCUCCUGGUGGGAAAAGGCCAUGACAUUUGGGGGCACACAUUUCAGAACAGGGCAUAACAAUUUGUUGCAUGAUGUAUGGCUAUGUGAUUCAAUGUUCUGACUAAUGAUAUAUUUUCUCUCAGAAUCCCCUCAGAUAACCAUCCUGCACACGCUCGGCUCCAUGUUAUCUUCCCUUGGCUCCCUUAGAAAAGGGCUGACCACUUGGUAUUGGUAACCAAUUGGUAUGCUGUUCCUGGAGAAGAAGACUAGUGCUCCCUGUUUCCACAUCCAAUCUGACUGCUCAUCACUGGAAUAUGAACGUCAACAAGCUGGCGUGGAUGUGAAGAACGCACCAUUCUCCUGAAUGAUACACUCUUUACAAUAGUAGGCAUCGGAGACUCCCGGACCUCCACAGAUCACACGCCGGCCCUGGACCCACUCCAAUACUGCUGUAACUAAAUCUUUCCAGUCUUGUAGAAUAACCCUGUUCCAAGUGGCCCAUGAAUUUAACAUCUGCUUCACAAAAGGUGAGUGCAAAUCAUAUGAAACUAUUGCUUCCUUAAACUCUUCACAUCUAACAUGUUUAAAGGAUCCCAGUUAACUCUAGAAUAGCCUUGGGAAUGCCUAUCAUCUGGUGGUCAUUCUUGAAUGGUAACUAGAUAAAUUAAGGUUUUCUAAUAACCUUGGGAAGCUCCCGUUCAGUUUCACAAUGCCAUGAUGUGGCAACUUCUGCUCUAAACUCCACUGUCUGUGUGAAUAUUUUUCUUAGUUCCAUUAGUCUGUCUUUCUAAGGAUUUUAUCUUAUCAGUCAAUUUUUCAUAUUUGGCAGAUAUCAAACAAAUUUUUUAGGGAGAAAACAAGAAUUACCAAAAUGAUAAUUGACAUUAUGUCAAUCACAGCUAAGUUGAUUAUCCCUUCAUUUAAUUGUUCCAUUUUCAAACCAUGCAUAUAGAGAACUAACUCUGUGUGUUGAAUUGUUUCCCAUUUUUAAUGUAGGGAAAAAAGAAUGUCUUCUCUCUCUCUCACUCUCUCUCUCUCUCUCUUUUUAAGUAAUUCCCCCUUAAAGAAUUCCCAGGUGGGACCUGAUCCAUAACGAGGUGAGUGGCCCUCUGCUCUUACCCCACUCCUGUCCAAAGCCCCAUUCACUCCAAACUCCCUGGGCCUGCUUGGGGUAGACACACC
Non-coding RNA from Cricetulus griseus (Chinese hamster), 3294 nucleotides. The record is from RefSeq and is a predicted model, not a curated record. Lineage: Eukaryota; Metazoa; Chordata; Mammalia; Rodentia; Cricetidae.